AAAGGCCCAGGCCGGGAAAGGGACGAUCUUUUCCGUACGGUGAAAAUGGAGCAGGGCCGCUGCCGCCGUCGACUCGGGAGCCCGAGGUCCCCGAAGGCCGCUUCCCUGCUCCCCGGACGCGGCGUGGGAGGUGCGCCAACCCGGGAGGACUGGGAAGUGCCCGCAGAAGCGAUAACUGACGACUCUGAUGCCUGUGUGACUGCGGUCGCGGAAGCCUCAACGGUCGGGUUGAACAUCACUGCCACUACGUUCCCUUAACGCCUGUCGCCCUCCCGUGUUCCAGGUGGCACAUCCCUUGCAGCGCCUUCAGGCCAGGAGCGGUCUCCCACCCAGAGAUUGCACAUGAGUGCUGCGGGGUCCCCUGUGUGUGAUCAGAUCGAGACCAGCUGCUGAGUAGUCGAGGGAGGAGCACCGGCCUGCCGUUAAGGUUAAGGGAUGCCUCGCUUCAUUCCCCUCUGGGUUUUAUGUGCUAAAGAAUGGUGAUCGGUGGUGUGGAGUUUGAAAGAUCGUGGUGGCUGCAGCUCAGCCCAAGGGAGAGGCUGUCUUUGCAGAGAAUGGUCAGCCACGCUGCAGCAGGUUCAGAGUCCUGUGGUCACCAUCAGUUCGGACUGAAAACUCAGGCUUCAACAGUUGGUGUGGAAAGGGUGCUUACCUUGUGCUGAGAUGUGGAGUCUGUUCUCUUAAAAGUAAACCAACUCUUGUUGGCUAUUAAUCUUAAAAGCAGAGCCAACAAGUGUGUUUGGCAAACUGUAGUGUAGGCACUGUUGGUGUCAUUGAAUUCUUGAGUUUUCUAGUAAUGUACUAUAAAUCUCUCCUACCCAGAGAGCUUCUAUACUUUUAAAUAUUGUAUGAAUUUGUUCUGUUGGGUGAGGGUCUGAGUUCUUUAAGAUGCAAACAUAUUUCUUCCUGAAACUGAUACUUCUGUGCAAUUACCACAAACUGCAAUAAAGGAUGGUCUUUAGUACUGGUUUUUAAAAA
Long non-coding RNA from Neogale vison (American mink), 978 nucleotides. RefSeq lists it as uncharacterized. NCBI's taxonomy places the organism in Eukaryota, Metazoa, Chordata, Mammalia, Carnivora, Mustelidae. The record is from RefSeq and is a predicted model, not a curated record. The transcript is spliced from 6 exons.